UGCUCUGUGGCUAAGUUGGUUACGGCGUCCGACUGUUAAAUUCCACACUUCUUUGCGUGCUUACGUAAUAAUCGGAAGAUCGUGAGUUCGACCCUCACCGGAGCAG
RNAcentral lists this transfer RNA (106 nucleotides) under Cryptococcus wingfieldii CBS 7118. Its description in RNAcentral is "Tsuchiyaea wingfieldii CBS 7118 tRNA-Asn". The record is from RNAcentral. Lineage: Eukaryota; Fungi; Basidiomycota; Tremellomycetes; Tremellales; Cryptococcaceae.